RNAcentral lists this ribosomal RNA (1358 nucleotides) under uncultured bacterium. Its description in RNAcentral is "bacterial SSU rRNA". It matches the Rfam family "Bacterial small subunit ribosomal RNA", at positions 28 to 1381 of the family's 1533-position model. The record is from RNAcentral.
GAUGAACGCUAGCUACAGGCUUAACACAUGCAAGUCGAGGGGCAGCAUGGUCUUAGCUUGCUAAGGCCGAUGGCGACCGGCGCACGGGUGAGUAACACGUAUCCAACCUGCCGUCUACUCUUGGACAGCCUUCUGAAAGGAAGAUUAAUACAAGAUGGCAUCAUGAGUCCGCAUGUUCACAUGAUUAAAGGUAUUCCGGUAGACGAUGGGGAUGCGUUCCAUUAGAUAGUAGGCGGGGUAACGGCCCACCUAGUCUUCGAUGGAUAGGGGUUCUGAGAGGAAGGUCCCCCACAUUGGAACUGAGACACGGUCCAAACUCCUACGGGAGGCAGCAGUGAGGAAUAUUGGUCAAUGGGCGAGAGCCUGAACCAGCCAAGUAGCGUGAAGGAUGACUGCCCUAUGGGUUGUAAACUUCUUUUAUAAAGGAAUAAAGUCGGGUAUGGAUACCCGUUUGCAUGUACUUUAUGAAUAAGGAUCGGCUAACUCCGUGCCAGCAGCCGCGGUAAUACGGAGGAUCCGAGCGCUAUCCGGAUUUAUUGGGUUUAAAGGGAGCGUAGAUGGAUGUUUAAGUCAGUUGUGAAAGUUUGCGGCUCAACCGUAAAAUUGCAGUUGAUACUGGAUAUCUUGAGUGCAGUUGAGGCAGGCGGAAUUCGUGGUGUAGCGGUGAAAUGCUUAGAUAUCACGAAGAACUCCGAUUGCGAAGGCAGCCUGCUAAGCUGCAACUGACAUUGAGGCUCGAAAGUGUGGGUAUCAAACAGGAUUAGAUACCCCGGUAGUCCACACGGUAAACGAUGAAUACUCGCUGUUUGCGAUAUACUGCAAGCGGCCAAGCGAAAGCGUUAAGUAUUCCACCUGGGGAGUACGCCGGCAACGGUGAAACUCAAAGGAAUUGACGGGGGCCCGCACAAGCGGAGGAACAUGUGGUUUAAUUCGAUGAUACGCGAGGAACCUUACCCGGGCUUAAAUUGCAGAUGAAUUACGGUGAAAGCCGUAAGCCGCAAGGCAUCUGUGAAGGUGCUGCAUGGUUGUCGUCAGCUCGUGCCGUGAGGUGUCGGCUUAAGUGCCAUAACGAGCGCAACCCUUGUUGUCAGUUACUAACAGGUUCCGCUGAGGACUCUGACAAGACUGCCAUCGUAAGAUGUGAGGAAGGUGGGGAUGACGUCAAAUCAGCACGGCCCUUACGUCCGGGGCUACACACGUGUUACAAUGGGGGGUACAGAGGGCCGCUACCACGCGAGUGGAUGCCAAUCCCCAAAACCUCUCUCAGUUCGGACUGGAGUCUGCAACCCGACUCCACGAAGCUGGAUUCGCUAGUAAUCGCGCAUCAGCCACGGCGCGGUGAAUACGUUCCCGGGCCU